Molecule: non-coding RNA, 74 nt
Organism: Paenibacillus sp. Soil787
Lineage: Bacteria; Bacillati; Bacillota; Bacilli; Caryophanales; Paenibacillaceae
Source: Rfam
GGCGGCGUAGCUCAGCUGGCUAGAGCGUACGGUUCAUACCCGUAAGGUCGGGGGUUCGAGCCCCUCUGCCGCUA